RNAcentral lists this ribosomal RNA (253 nucleotides) under uncultured bacterium. Its description in RNAcentral is "partial 16S ribosomal RNA". It matches the Rfam family "Bacterial small subunit ribosomal RNA", at positions 524 to 776 of the family's 1533-position model. The record is from RNAcentral.
UACGUAGGGUGCGAGCGUUGUCCGGAAUUAUUGGGCGUAAAGGGCUCGUAGGCGGUUUGUCGCGUCGGGAGUGAAAACACACAGCUUAACUGUGUGCUUGCUUCCGAUACGGGCAGACUAGAGGUAUGCAGGGGAGAACGGAAUUCCUGGUGUAGCGGUGAAAUGCGCAGAUAUCAGGAGGAACACCGGUGGCGAAGGCGGUUCUCUGGGCCUUACCUGACGCUGAGGAGCGAAAGCGUGGGGAGCAAACAGG